Long non-coding RNA from Vicia villosa (hairy vetch), 1780 nucleotides. RefSeq lists it as uncharacterized. The transcript is spliced from 3 exons. The record is from RefSeq and is a predicted model, not a curated record. NCBI's taxonomy places the organism in Eukaryota, Viridiplantae, Streptophyta, Magnoliopsida, Fabales, Fabaceae.
UCAAUUAUCACAAAUCAAAUGCAUUAAUCAGAAAAAAAAGCAUAAUUAGAAGAAAGGGGUUUAGGGUUGAUUUACGUGUGACUAUUGAAAUCGGAUUAGAUGAGGUCUCUUCUUCACCCUCAAUGCGGCGCCGGAGAACUCAUUUCUCCGAAUAGAAACUCCGCCGCUCGCCUUUCGACCACCACACGUAAACAUCUCCCUCACUCUCGUUCGCCUCUCACCCUCGCUUCUUCGCGUUCAUCUUCUUCUCUUCGAUUAGCUUUUGUUGUUGAAGAUGUGAGAGCCCCUGAUAUCGUUGUAACCUUGGUUAAUUACGCAGAUUCAAGCACCUGAUGGAGAACUCGUCAUUGAAGAUUGAAGUUGUUGAAGAAUCGUGAACACGGUUCAGAGGAGGUUGAGGGGUAAUGGUGAUGAGUGUCCAACUGAAGAAUGAUGAAGAUGGUGGAGAAGCAAGAGUUGAUGACUGAAGAUGAUGAUGAAAUGUGAAGGGAUCGAGAGAAGGUGUGAUGAGAUGAUCAAUGGUGAUGAUGGAUUUGCAGAGGAGCCGAAGUGUGAACUGAGAUGGAAGAGUGAAGGUGAAAAUGGUGGAGAGAGUGAAGAUGAUGAAGUGGUGGAGAAUGAAUCGAGAGAUCAAAAAUGGUGGAGAGAGUGAAGAUGAUGAAGUGGUGGAGAAUGAAUCGAGAGAUCAAAAAUGGUGGAGAGAGUGAAGAUGAUGAAGUGGUGGAGAAUGAAUCGAGAGAUCAAAAAUGGUGGAGAGAGUGAAGAUGAUGAAGUGGUGGAGAAUGAAUGAGAGAUCAAAAAUGGUGAAGCCCCUGAAGCUGAGUGAAGGUCCAGUUAUAUAGAGUUUCCAGGUUUGGCUUAUUGCUACAAAUAUGCUUGACUCUGCCGCGAAUUAUGAAGUUGCAUGACAAACUGUUUGUGAUGGAGCUCAACUGUUUUCUUCUUUUUCUUUUUUUUUUUUUGAAUUAACCAUGGUUACUGUGUUGGAACUGAUUUGGGUAUGAAUGUAUGUGUAGUAUCUUGCUGUUUGUAGGUUAUGCUGUUUGUUUAUAAGUUAUGCUAUUUGUAGGUUAUUUUUGGUUAUGCUGUGUGUAGGAUUUUGUUUGCAUUUGAAUAUGUGGCAGCAAGAUUGGAAUUUGCAUAUGGAAGUGUAUGGACUGGCUGAAACUGAUUUUGUCUAUUUUUUGCACAGGGAUGGUUUGGUUGACUGCUGUUGGGUUCUGUUGGUUUAAAAUAUGCAGGGACUGUUAUGAGCGACGCAAGUUAAACCAUGGAGCUAUCGGGAUUUAUUGUACUUGGCAUCAGUCUUGCAGCUUGAGUUGUAAUUGAGGUUUUGACUCGCUGGUCGGAGAAACUGGGCAUAAUAACCAGCUGGGUUCAACCGUGAAUGGACAAUAAAGCUUGAAAACCAAGAAAUAUCAUGUGCCUGAACUCAGAAUCGUCAAACGGCGUGGUUUAGCAUUGUAUUUACUUUGUGAUGAAGAAAAUUGGAUGUUGUAUUGUAUUCGAGUUUGUCAUGAGUGAUGAUCAUUAGCUAUGGAUGACUGGGUUCAGAAUUAUGUAUGAUGGGUGACUGGGUUUAGGAUUAUAUAUGUUGUAUGAUGUUGAUUCUGGUAUGGUAAAUGUGUAUUUAGGAGAAUUUGAAUUGAAAGAUUUUGGUGUAUACAUGGAGCUGAACAUGUGUGGAAAUAUUUCUUUUGUAUGUAAAUUUUCUUGAUGGCAAUGUACUUGUAGCAAAUGGAGCAUAAUUCUAACUUGAAGUGUAAUGAAAUUUUAGUGA